GGACUACAAGGGUAUCUAAUCCCGUUCGCUCCCCUAGCUUUCGUGCCUCAGCGUCAGAAGAGACCCAGUAAGCCGCUUUCGCUCCUGGUGUUCCUUACGAUAUCAACGCAUUUCACCGCUCCACCGUAAGUUCCGCUUACCUCUGCCUCCCUCAAGCCCAGUAGUUUAGGGCGCAAUUCCUCGGUUAAGCCGAGGGCUUUCACACCCUACUUUCUGAGCCGCCUACGCACCCUUUAAGCCCAGUAAAUCCGAAUAACGUUUGGACGGUACGUAUUACCGCGGCGGCUGGCAC
RNAcentral lists this ribosomal RNA (292 nucleotides) under uncultured bacterium. RNAcentral's name for it is "partial 16S ribosomal RNA". The record is from RNAcentral. RNAcentral also lists the same sequence under 2 other names.